This 18959-nucleotide long non-coding RNA is filed under the name Fragaria vesca (wild strawberry). Its description in RNAcentral is "long non-coding RNA (FVES_LNC002367)". The record is from RNAcentral. Lineage: Eukaryota; Viridiplantae; Streptophyta; Magnoliopsida; Rosales; Rosaceae.
GGAAAGACCACGCUCGUCAAAGAAGUUUCCAGGCAAGCUACACAAGACAAAACAUUAUUUGAGGAUGUGGCUAUGAUAUUGGACGUAAAACAAAACCCAAGCAUCCAAAGAAUUCAACAAGAAAUUGCUGAGAAGUUAGGUCUUGACCUUCCUGAAAAUAAGACUGUUGCUGGAAGAGCACGUCUUCUAUCAAGCAGGAUAAAAGACCAAAAGACUCUGGUAAUUCUCGAUGAUGUGUGGGAUGGAUUUGAUUUGGAGGCUGUGGGACUUUCUGGUGUGACGACUUGUAAAGUAUUGUUGACAUCAAGAACUCGUGAAGUAUUAUCCGGUAAGAUGCAUACACAAAAAGAGUUUGCACUUGAUCUUUUAGGGGAAGAAGAAUCUUGGAGUCUGUUCAAGAAGAAGGCAGGUGAUGUUGUUAAAGAUCCUUCCAUAAAAGCUGUAGCAACCAAAAUAGCCAAAAAAUGUGGAGGUUUGCCGGUUUUAGUUGUCACUGUGGCAAGUGCCUUGAAAAAUAGAAGUACAUUAUAUCAUUGGAAAUAUGCGUUGACACGUUUGAAAAAGUUUGAUAAAGAAGAGUUCACAGAAAAGACUUACUUGGCUCUAGAGUGGAGUUAUAGUGAGUUAAAUAAUGAGGAGCUUAAGCUAGUGUUCUUGCUUUGUGGACUUUAUGCUGAUUCUUCGAAAACUAUUCAUAUACAGUACUUGUUGAAAUAUGGCAUUGGCUUGGGUUUGUUUAAGAACCUCAAUACACUGGGAGAAGCUUGGGAUGCAGUAAAUUCAUUGCUUGAUCAACUAAAGGAUUCUUGUCUGUUGCUUGACCAUGAAGAUAGUCAGUGUGUCAAGAUGCAUGACCUCAUCCAUGAUGUUGCUAAACGUAUCUCAUCGAGGGACCAACAUGUGUUGAUAGUAAGUGGUGGAGAUGAGUUUAAAAAAUGGCCAGAUAUGAAGGAGUUUUGUGAAAAGUGUACAAUGAUCUCCAUCGAAAUGGCCAGUAUCCCCAAGCUUCCUGAAGUUUUGCGGUGCAGAGAACUAAAGUUGUUGGUUCUUAAUGCUACUGUUAUGGAUUACUACUCUUUAGAAAUCCCGUGCAACUUUUUUAAAGAAAUGACAAAACUCAAAGUGUUGGAUUUAACUUCUUUGAGUAUCCCGGCAUUACCUCCAUCUCUUCAGUUUCUAAAAAGUCUGAAGACAUUGUGUUUAGAUGCAUGCACCUUGGGAGAUAUAGCUCUAAUUGGUCAUCUAGAAAACUUAGAAAUCCUUAGCUUUCUAAGAUCCGAGUUUAAAGAGUUGCCCAAAGAAAUAGGUCAAUUGACUCAUCUACGACUGUUGGAUUUGACUGGUUGCUCUCAGUUGGAAUUAAUUGCACCUGGUAUUAUCUCAAAUUUGAAAAGGCUAGAAGAACUGAGGAUGGGAAAUAGCUUUAACCGAUGGGAGACUGAAGGAGUCACUGGUACUGAGAAAAGUAAUGCAAGCCUUUUAGAGCUCAAGCACUUGUCUAAGCUAAGCACUUUGCAUAUACAUAUCGUGGAUGCUAACAUUCUUCCAACAGAUUUGUUCUCCAAUGCAUUGGAACGAUACCAAAUAUAUAUUGGUGCUGCAUGGAACUGGGAUGAUGCGGAUGCAAACCUCAACACACUGAAAAUCAAGCUCACUACCACCAAUGAACUGUACCAAUCUGGUUUAAACAUGUUGCUGAAGAAAACUGACGAGUUACACUUGAAUGGAAUGGAUGCUGGUAAUAAUACAGCUUAUAAUCAAUUAGACGGUGAAGAAUUUCAGCAAUUGAAACAUCUCCAUGUCCGCAAUGCUGAGUUUAGAUGUAUCAUUAAUGGGAAGGUACGCUCUUUAGUGAAGUGUUCAUACAUCCUUUGUUUUUUUUUGGUUCCAAUUGAUUAUAUAUUCCAUUAGUAUAGAUAUCAUUUUAUGAAGAUUUACUUGGUCAUAUUUUUUCUUUUUGGGAACUCAUUAAGUAAUUAUUGUAUUUUUAACGCAGUACGAAAAACUUUCAUUGAUCAAACUAAUGUAGGCGACAACAUGAACACAAUUCACCCUCACGUGCUACGUAAAAAUCGAAUUAUGCAAAACAACCUAAGAGAAUAGCAAAUCCUAAAUGAAGCAUCUUGAUCAAUAAAUAGAGAACAUGUUAGCUAGGUUAACAUAUUAGAACACACACGGAACAUCCUACACAGAUGAGGUCUCCCCAGGUAGAGAACCUGAAGCAACUACUACUGACUCCUCCACCACGUACUGUGUCGUUAGUACCUGAACCAGAGCCAGAUUCAAAACCACUAAUUGUGACAAUUAAAGACAUGUAUUGAGAAAUCUUCACAGAUACAAAUUUCUGCUACUUAAUAUGGUACCUACUCUUGAGCACAUCCAUCCUAACAUUAAUUAAUUUAUAGACUAGUACAGUAUCGACCCACAAUUAUAGGCAGUAAAGUUAUUGGUUUAAACUUGGAAGUAUAAUUAAUUCCCCUUGUAAUCAGAAUUGACUUGUUCUAUAGGGCGUUUUUCCCUAUUUGAAAAGGUUGGUGGUGAGUGACCUAGAUGGUUCGAGAUUCUUAUUAUCAUCUUCCAUGGCUAGAAGUCUUGUACAACUCACACAUCUUGAGAUAUCUGGAUGUCGGAUGAUGGAAGAGAUAGUAUCAAUAAAUGAAACUGAUGAUAAGUUUAUGAAGGACAUGUUCUCUAAGCUACAACAUCUGGAGCUAAAAGAUCUUCCAGUUCUGACAAGAUUCUGCUCAAGAAAUUCUACUGGAUUUCCAUCUUUGGAGAUUUUGCAACUAGCUAACGACAAUGAAAUUGAAGAAAAGGAAUCAGGAGAAGACAUUGGGAAUUUUUUGUUUGAUGAAAAGGUGAUCGAAUCGUGUUCUCUGUCUAUGUUUCUUUUAUCAUUAAUCUAAUCUGUUCAUUCGAAAACAUGUAUCUUGUCGAAAAAGAAUUUUUUUCUGAACAAGUCCAUUGACAUGAUGAAUAUUACUCAUACAGGUAGUAUUUCCAAGCUUGAUGAGAUUGUUCAUCCAUGGGUUGAAAACGAUAGUGACAAUAUGGCACAAUCAACUUUCUCCAGAGAGUUUCAAAAAUCUAGAGACUGUAAAUAUUAAUUCGUGCCAGAGUUUGAAAAGUGUUUUUCCAUCCUCAAUGGUCAGAAGUCUUCAGCAAUUAAUGCAUCUGGAAGUGGUCGAAUGCGGAGUGGAGGAAAUUGUUGCAAAUGAGGAUGGAGGACAAACAACACAUGAGUUUGUGUUCUCAAAAGUAAACUCUGUCCAUUUUUGGGAUUUGCCCCAUCUUAGCUGUUUCUAUUCUGGAGCGCAUGCUUCCCGGUGGCCGUCACUUGAAACCUUGAAGGUACUUUAUUGCUGGAAAUUAACAUUUUUGGCCCAAGAAUGUUCAAGCUUCGAGAGAAACUGUGAGUCGAUGAAUCCUGCUCCAGCUAACCAAGCUCUCUUUCUAAUUAGGAAGGUAAAAUCUUCUUAUAUAUUUUCUUACAGUCUACUUAUAUAGCACUCCAUGGCCAAUUUGUUUUAUUUCUUUUAUUAUUAAUUUUUUAUCGUUUAAGGCUGUUCACGUUUGAGUCACUUUUGUAAUCUUUUAAAAAUCUCGUCUAAUGAAAUGGUCUUGCUUCAAUCACUUAGCAUUUAGCAGAAAUAUUGGAGUUAAUUUUAUAGGAGUUUCUGGAUAUGUGGCGUUUCCAUUGAUAGUGGCAUUGUUAGAUAUACAAAUAAUUGAUUCCAUAUAAUUCAGAAGUAAAGUUUUUUUAAAUGUUAAAGCAACCCAGAACUAAUUAACCCUACCUGACAGUAUCCUUAGACAUUCGUAGUUUCAAAGAUCUAAACAAAACAUGACUUUUGUCUUAUUUUAUUUACAUCUCAGUCAAAAGGACAAUAGAUUUGGUGCUUACAGUAACUUGGUAGUUACAAGAGAGUUUCAAAAAUUCGAAUUCUUCAGUGAGGCUCCUCCCCAUCUGAAGGCCAUAUGACAAACAACUUAUUAAAAGAUUUUAUUAAGAAAAGUUAACUUUUCGAGCCAACGAAGUAGUAGGGUUUUUUAUUUUUUAUUUUUUUAUCAGAUGAAUAACUUAAAGCAACAACUAGACUCUUCUUUUGGGUAGAUUACUAGAUUGUUGAUACGAAAGUAGACACCGAUAGUUAUUGAAAAAUGAAGCAGCUAAAGAUUAUCUUCCAAGUAUUUCUUGAAGCGAAAGAAGGUACUUUUACUGUAUGAUGAUAUGCCUCUCCAGUCCCAGGGUAUAUCAUCUUCUUUCUCUUGCGUAGUUUCUCUGUAUGUCCUUCAUUGAGAGCAUGUACAUUGUCUUUCAGUUUAGGGGCCAGUUUUGAGUUUUGACAAAAAGCAUGAAUUUGAAAAGUCAUAAGACUCUGAUACCGGGUAACUGAAAACAGCUUGUUGACCCACUUUAUUUCAUUUUUAACUUUGAUGACACACUACAUGUGAGAGAUUGUUGAAUUCUUUUGAUGACGUUUUAGAGAAUAUGAAUUAUGGGUCUGGUUCAAGAGACAGAACAGUUGACACUAUUUUUGAUACUCGUUUUUGUCUCUUAGAUCUUAGUUGAUCUAAUAGUUAUUUUUACUUAUGAGUAUGAUCUAGCAAGUGACAUGAAAUUUGAUAUGACCCAAAUGAAAGUUUUCAUAAUUUGAAUAGACCUUUGUGCAAUGAACCUAGGAUGUUUUUUCAUGUUGAAGAUCGAACAUGAACAUGAGUGCCAUGUUCUUCUGGGAGUUUUUUCUUUUGUUUGUUGAAAAUAAUAUUAAUUUCAUGUCACUUGCCAAAUCAUACUCACAAGUAAAAACACUCAUGAGAUCAACUAAGAUCUAAAGGAUAAAAAUGAGUGUCAAAAAUAGUGUUAAAUAUUGUGUCCCUUGAACCAGACCCAUGAUUCAAUGAGUUUAUGCUUUUUUGUUUUUGUUCCUUUUUUUUUCCUUUUUCAAUUUGAGAUUUAUGUUCAUAAGAUACUGUUUGUGUUGUUUAACAUCCACUAACCAUGACACAUUAAAACUACAGGAUUCAUUCCCCAAGUUGAAGUUAGUGGCCACAUUCGGGAUGGAGAUUUGGGAUGGUCCAUUCCCAGUAAAGGUCUUCCGCAGUCUAGCAAUAUUUCGAGUCGGUAAUCGACACUCUGAGGCAGCUGCUAUACUUGAGAAAUUCCCUGGUCUUGAAAAACUCAGUGAAACGAGUUCGGCUCCCUCCAAUGAAAUAUGCAGCAGUGGGGAUAUAAAUGCAGUUGAGGCCCUCCCUCAUUUAAAUGAGUUGUGGCUUCGCAUGUCGAAACUGAUGCAUCUUGGGGAAGAUAACACUCAAUCAGCAGGUCAAAACUUUCCAAACCUGAAAAUUCUAUGGAUAGAGUAUUGUGACAACUUAAGGAAUCUAAGAUCAUCAGCAAUAUCCUUCAAGAAUCUGACAAACUUGCAAGUAACUAGUUGUCCCGGAUUGGAAUACUUGAUAACUUACUCCAUAGCUAAAAGUUUCUCGCAACUCACACACUUGACAGUUGAGGAUUGUGCAAGACUGGUAGAAAUGGUGAGAAGCACAGAAGAUGAUGACGAUUCAGGAAAUGAGAUUGUAUUCAGCCGGUUGAUAUAUCUAAGACUUUCUAAACUACCAAAAUUGCAAGUCUUUUGCUCUGGAGAUUUCAUUGUCAGAUUUCCAUCUUUGGAAACUUUAUUGAUAAGCAGACGCCUUAAAUUGAAGGUUUUUCAUAAUUAUGAAACACUACAGAUAACCGACGAAAUAGUUGACACAGACGUUGAUGUUGAUGAUGGCGUAACGGUAAAUUUUUAAUUCCUAACAAUUAUUGACCAGACAUCUUAGUAGUUUUUUUUUUUCUUUUUCUAAAUGCAUUUCAAUUGUUUCUAUAAAUGACAAGACGUUACAGGUAAGAAAGGAAAAUGUCGACACAGAUGAUGGUGAACAAAUAGAUGAAACUACACCUAUCACAGGCGCAAAGAAAGACGAACAGUUUGAGGUAUUGGUAACAUUUUCAUUCACUAAACUCAUUUUAUUCUCUUGAGUUUCCAUUAAUGAAUCUACGACACUUUCCAUAUCAGUUAUACCCACAGUCCCACACACACACAUACGUACAUUAGUGCAGCCCAUGUCAGAGAUUUCAUUUUUUUGCCUGGUCGGACUGUCAAAGUUAGUUAGUUUUUUUUUUUUUCUAAUGAAUUUCAUAUAUUUUUAUGAAUGACGGAACGACACAGGUAACAAAGGAAAACGUCAAUUGUAAUGGAAAACGAGAAAUUGAAAAGGUUUACAUGGACACCGGUGCUGAUCAUGAAGAAGUUGCAGAAACUACACAUAUCACAAACAAAAACAUAGACGCUAGUUUUGAUGGAUCGGUAACUUCCCAUCCACACAACUUUUUAUUUCAAUAUUCAAUCUCAUAGUUUUCCACGAUAGAUGGACGAUGUAAUAAUACUAUCACAACGGAGACUAUAAUUCCUUUUGUAGUCUAUUACAUAUAUACAAAUACAAAAUACAUUCGUAUUAGGAGCUAGAACCAGAAACUUUUUAGUUCCCCUAUUGUUUACAGUUCUAAUUUCUCUUAUUCAAACGUUCUCCAUGGCUAUUAGUCUAUUUGAUAUAUAUCUUUACCAUAUUUGAAGUAAUAUAUGUAUGUCAGUGCCCCUGUGUCGCGUAAUAAAUACUUUCUUCCCAUUCCAUUAUGUAGUAUAAUAAUAUUCAGCUUGCUUCUACAUUGAUUGAUUGAUCUUUAUGUAUAUAUAUAACGACAUUACCUGACGUCUCAGGAACAUGUUCAUCCCCUUGAGACCACUACGGCUGAUCUGGGGGUUAUAGCACCAAUGGAAGAAAAUCUGGCCAUCAUACCAGUAGGUGAAGUCACAACUCCUGUGUUCCCAGUCAUUGAGCAUUCUCUUGUUGCAGAAGCACCUGGGCGACAAGCAUUCUCAGAUAUUGAGCCUCUUGCCGAAGAAGCAAGGCCUGAUGUUCAUCAGACUCCUAAUGCACCAGAACAGCCUAUUGAGGAACAUAGUGAUAUUCCCUUUGAGUCUUCAGCUGCUGAUACAGGAACUCCGCCAACACAUAUCAUUCCUGCACUGCCCUUUUCAAGUUUGUUGAAGUCAUCUGGAGCAAAACGGUCAUUGAGAGAGAAACUCAAAGGUCUGUCUGCCAAGAAGGCAGCUAGCAGUUCCGGCCUGUCUGAGGAGGCGAAGAGCAAGCUCAAAGCUCUUAUUGCUACUGCUGACUUGAGAGAUCCCCACACCAGACAACAGCUCUUGACAGUGCUGCCCACUCUCCAACUGUCUGCUACCAUAAGGAUUGCUGAUCUCGCUGUUCAAGAGCUAUCGAAGUUACCACUGGUUCUGGACAAGCAGGAAUCAUUAUGCCAAGAAUUGGCUUCGCUUAAAGCUCAGGGCUCCCAGCUUGAUGAAAGGAGUCACAUCCUCCUCUCUGAAGGUUCUUUAGCUGAAGAAACCAUCCAGAAGGUUCAGGAGCAGCAGGCGGAGCUGCUGGCUCUGGAAGAGCAAAUCAAGAAGCUUGAGGCGCAAGCAAUUCCACUCCGGGCUGAGAUUGCCAUUGGCGAAAAGAGGUAUUCUGGCUUUGAAGCGUCCUUGGAUCAGCUAGUUGAGGAACAACAACUCAACCAACUCUCUGUGGAUUCAACAAGUGAAGAGUUGCUUAGGACUCGAGCUGUGAGUGACAGCUUAUGUACUGCCAUCUUUACUCAUCUCCGCCAACUAUUGUAGGCCUCAGUUUUGCAUUUAGGCGCAUGUAUUUAUUAGGAUAGUAUUAUACCUUAUGCAUUGUAGCGGAGCACUAUGACCACGUACUUCACCUCGUAAGUAUGCUUUAUUUGUACUAUGAACAUUUCUUCAUACAGCAUAACCGCAUUGUUCAUAACCAGACUAAUGUAUUACCAAAUAGCAAGAGCUAAUUAAAUUAUAGCUAGGAGACAUCAAAAGAGACAAAACCUAGGAUUUAGUGCUAGCUAGUUGACGGCGGUGGUCUAUAGGCGAUUAGUUCUGUUCUUGAGUAGAACAGGAUCUCUGAUCACCACGAACUUUGGUGAACUAGUUGAAAUCUUUCCUAAUCAGUUUGGUGGUGAGGGCUACACUUUGGUCACCGUUAUAUGCUAAUUGGUUGCUAUGCAUACAUGUAUGUAUAGGUUGAUUCCUCUUAGCUGGUGACGCCACGAUGGCGGUCACAGUGGUGGAUUACGACGCGACAGACAGACUAAGGGUCGUGACCAAUUUGUUUGGUGGACUGGUGGUGCGAUCUUGGUGACUAGCUGUAUACUACUUUAGUGGACUUUCCUGUGAGGAAGAGAGAUUACAUCCCUUUGCCAUGGCCGGAAGAGAAUGAGAGAAUGUGUUCAACCUAUGAUUUGAUGGUAAAUCUGGUGAGGGUUGAAUAGAGUAUUGGUGCAAUGAAAGUUAGACAGUUUAUGGUAUGAAAUGCAGGAAUUUAUUGUUUCCAAAACCCUUCAGUAAGUUGUCGCCCUUCAUUUCUGAGCAGCAACUGCAGUAACAGUUGAUGUACUUGGUUGUUUGCAGCCUAUGCUAUUGGAUUGAACCGAGGCACACAUCACAAGUUGAAGAAAAGGUAUGUAACUAUUCUGAAUUAUGAGGUGGCGGAUUUGUUAUUGCUAUGCAUCGGCAUGUUUUGAUAUUGUUUGAUCUGUUUGUCUUUGGUAAAAUAAUAUUAUUAGAAUCUAAUUUGGUUUUGAUUUUUGUCUCUGUUCAUGCCAAAUCCUUUUAUAUUCUCUGUAGAAAAUUGAAACUAUUAUUAUGGUAUUUGAAAAUUGCAUUUCUCAUUGCUGUCAAAUUUAAUAUCUAAUCAUGAAGACACUCUGAAGCUUGUGAAAAAACGACAGGAUUUUCAUACCUCCAAGCUUUUGAUUUCAUAUUGUGCAAUUUUAGUUAUGAUAUGAUUCCGUCAUCAUUUUACCAAAACUAGCUUCAAGAAUGUUAAACACAAUGUAAUUAAUUUGCACCCUAAGCUAUAUAAGGUGCACUUAUCAUUAAAUCAGUCUACCAGCUAUCACCUACAAGGACAUUAUGUCUUAUGUUUGAUAGUGUAUGUUAUGGUUUUGUAUAUGCAGGUUUUAACUGUUGGUUUGCAGUACCAUAAAGCUGUUACUUGCUUUUCCACAGUGAAGUUAAACUAAAUCCUCUCGUUCAAGGUAACUAUGGUUAACAUUCCUUCUUUAAUUUGUGAUUUUACUGCUUGCUGAUUUUUACACAUGUAUAAGGGGUAUUGUUUACGUUUUAUGUUUCAGAGUGUUGCAGAACAGAUUAAUAGUGCGUCGAGUUUUUGCUUAUAGGGAGGCAGCAGAUGAUUAAGGUUCGUCGUUGUACUUUUUGUUUUUCUUUCUGAUGUUUUUUUUUCUUUUCUUAAUUUACACAUGACUUGAAGUAGAAGAUCGGGAUAAAGCCAUUUUACAAUUAAGCAUAUCCCAAUGUUCAAAGUAUAAAGUAUAAACCAGUAGGAAUAUAUUUGAAUGCUUCAAAUCCAGAUGAACAAAAAAAAAAGAAUUCUUUCAAACACAAAUGGUGGUCCACUGGCUUUCUCUAUACCAUUGUAGUUAUAGCUUAGCUUAAACUGUUAAGACAUUGAAACCUUCAAGCUUAUGAAAGCUUGUUUUUUUUUUUUACGAACUUCUAUAAGCAGCAGGUUAAGGAUCUGAUUUUUGAAAUUUUCAUUUUAUUUUAUUAGAUUUCUUUUUCUACUUAAGUUACAAGCACUACAAAUGGUUUAUUGGUUUUUGCCUAGUUAGGUGUGCUUCCCAACCUAGGUUUGAACCCUGAAGCUGUUAAAGUGGUCAGACACUGUGCUAUGCAUAGUUGGAGCAUUUCACAUACGACCAUAGACUAACUUCUAGGUCUAGAAACUAGGAAGCCUUUAUGGUCCUGAUACUGUAUAAAAAACUUACAAGUUACAUAAUUUUUGCAUAGCUAACUCGCCUGAAGGUCGUACGAUGGUAGGAGCUGCACAACUUAUUUAGCUACUAGUCAGUCAAGCUAUGUAUUUAUAAAACCACGAGCUCUGCAAGGGACAUCAAAGUCAAUUAGCAAGAUUAUUAGUCGCUAGUAAACAGCAAAUUCCAGUUGGUAAGCAUAUGGAAUGAAUUUAAAUUUUGUAUUUAUCUGAUAAUCUGCAAAAGAAGACUUCAACUGUAAGUGUUCAUAUUGGGAUCCCCUGUACAUGACUGGUUUAUAUAAUCAACUCAUCAUGUGAAAAGAAAGAACAAACAUAUUAAGAAGUUGAUGUCAACUACAACAGCCAAAAUGUCUUACCUAUGUGAACAAAAGUGACCCGGUGGAAAUUUUCAAAGCAUGUGAUUUUGAUGCUGAACACUCACUUUUUUAAUCCUGAAGAGCUGACGAGAUGUAUAUUGCAAUAUAUAGUCUCAUUUAAAAGCUUAGUAUCUAAUUCUUUCUGUAUUUCCAAUUUUUCAUGAAUGGAUACAAAUCCACAUGAACUGAAAUAAUAAGUUGUUAAUUAGAUACAAAAUGCAGUGCACUGGCUUUCUUUCUGGUAAUCUAGCUAAAGGUCGGACGAGUUUGCAACUUACAAGAGCUGGUUGUUGAAUUGUCCAGCUAGUAAGUCGAGGUACGCAUCUUAUAACAUGGCAAGAUUGGCAACUAGCAAUUGGUCAUAAUAUAUUGAAGACAGACCUCAGAUAUGUUAUUAAAGAAGUAACCGUUUAUAAUGUAUAAAAAAAGACGUCAACUAUUGGGAUUGGAUCUCCUGUACAUGACUGCUCCAUAUAUUUAUCAUAAGUUAGUACAACUGGAAGUUGGCAAAGCAUAUUAUUCAGGAGUUGAGAACUCAUCUUUUCUUGUUCUUGAUAAAAAAGAGUUUGUAUUGCAAUACUGUCUCAUACUUUGCUCUGUCUUUCAUGAAAGUCUUUGUUCUGUGAUCUAAGCCCCCAGAAAAACUUCUUCCUAAAAGUCUGUUUGUUUUUGUUUCUCCUACUGAUUUCGGUCAAUAGCAGGCAGUUCUUUGUUGCUUUAAUUCUUAUUGUACUUCUCAAUAAGCGUUGGGUUUUUAGAUUUCUGCUUUGUUGUCGCUUGAUUUGAUUGUUUAUUUUGCUUUUACUUUCUCUUUGUUAGUUGGUAUUGUGCUGUCUUUCUUUGGAGUAUCAAAGGCGAGGACAACAACUAGUUUGCAACCAGACUUAAUUCCUCAUUUUAUUACAAGAAGGAUUUUAGUUGCACUUUCAUAUUAAACGUUCGAAUUUGAAGAGAAACUGGAGCUGUUGAUCACAAGUGAUAUAUAAGCCAAACAGACAAGGUAUUUCCUAAUAUUUCAAUCUUCAAGUGCGUCUGCUAUUUUAUUUGUAUUAUAUUUAUUUAUUUACUUAUUUUAUUUCUUAAUAUAGCAAAAAAAAGUGACAUCACAAAAUCACAAGAACGUACAGCUCCCUCUCAACUGAUCUAAAGGAACGCUAGAGGCACAAAAAGAGAUAGAUAAUUCCACCAAACAGCACAAGAAGGGGAUAUAUCAUUCCACCAAACAGUUUCACUAGGAGAAGAACGGAGUAAAUUCGUAAUUUCAUCCGCUACAAAAUUCAUAAGUCAUAUAUAUAUAAUAUAUAUAUACACACACACCAACGAGACAAGGUACAUCAUUUAUCCCAAUCUUCAAUUUCAUUCGCUAUUUUAUUUUUAGGGUCAUGGAGAUCCAAUUUCCUUCUAGUUUAUUCUCUAAAAAAAAAAAAUAAAUAAAUCCUUCCAGUUGACUCCACUUUUAAGGUAUUUACCUUGGAGGCUUGGACUAUUUUAUUAAUCAUAUAAUCAUUUUUAAGAUAUUGAAGCAAGGAUAUCUUCUAUUAUAUAUAUAUUUACAAUGAAAUCAAAAUAACAGGGAAACGGGGCCGGUCCUGAAGGAUCCAAGGCCUACUGCAGGGAAAAAAAAUGUGCUCCCUUGCAUAAAUUUUUUUUUUUUNNNNNNNNNNNNNNNNNNNNNNNNNNNNNNNNNNNNNNNNNNNNNNNNNNNNNNNNNNNNNNNNNNNNNNNNNNUUUAGAUAAGCAAAAUCACAUAAAAGUAGACUUCUUGGAAUAUAAAUAGUUCUUUAAAUUGAACCAACCGAAGGUAAAAGUUGUAAAGUCUACAUUUAACAUAAGACACAUAUACUAUUUUCAUUAGAAAUGUCUACAAUUUAGAUAAGCUAAAUCAUAGAAAUGUAUACUUUUUAGAAAUUAAAAUGGUUCUUGAGAUUGAACCCAUUAAAGGCAAAAGUUGCAAAGUAUACAUUUAACAUAAGACACAUCUAUUAUUUUCAUUAGAAAUGUCUACCAUUUAGAUAAGCUAAAUCACAGAAAAGUAGAAUUUCUGGAAAUUAAAAUGAUUCUUGAGAUUGAAUCAAUAAUUGAAGGUGAAAGUUGCAAAGUUUACAUUUAACAUAAGACACAACUACAAUUUUUAUGAGAAAUGUCUACCAUUAAGAUAAGCAAAAUACAAAAAAGUAGACUUUCUGGAAAUCAAAAUUGUUCUUGAGAUUGAAUUAAUAAUGGAAGGUGAAAGUCGCAAAGUCUACAUUUAACAUAAGACACAACUACUAUUUUCAUGAGAAAUAUCUACCAUUUAGAUAAGCAAAAUCACAAAAAAGUAGACUUUCUGGAAAUCAAAAUGGUUCUUGAGAUUGAAUCAAUAAUGGAAGGUGAAAGUUGCAAAGUCUACAUUUAACAUAAGACACAACUACUAUUUUCAUGAGAAAUGUCUACCAUUUAGAUGAGCAAAAUCAUAAAAAAGUAGACAUUCUGGAAAUCAAAAUUGUUCUUGAGAUUGAAUCAAUGAAAAUUCAUAAAAUGAAAAUUGACCGUUUGAUGGAUCAUUAUAGCGAAACAUGGCUAUGGAUAAAAUUCAACUGGAUUCAAACAAUGUUCGGAGAUCGAUCAAAGCGGUCAACCCUAAUUCAUCUUCACUUAUCACACGAAAACUAUCUUACCUACCGCUUCGUGACCUAGUUUGGUCGAUUCUUCAACACAAUAAAGUCUCACAUAGAUGAGACAUGACCACCCAUGUAAAACUUUGGGGACGUUUACCACCCGAGGAUAGGGCUCUCCUUAGUGAAGAAUAAGCGUAAAUAAGGUUGACCGCUUCGAUCGGGGCCUAAAUAUUGGCUAACUAAAGUGAUUUUCCUACCGUAGCCGUAUUUACUAUACCGAUCACAUCCUAUUUCACGAGAUUUUUGAAAAUUUUUCUUCCUCUAUAUAGUUGGUUCACAAAGUUGUAUACUAGUAUAUAACCUACCAAACAAGUUAUACCACAUUAGUAGGCACGUUAUGAUUUCGAUGAUUAAAAUUCACAAAAUGAAAAUUGACCGUCUGAUGUGAUCAUUAUAGUGAAACAUGGCUAUGGUAUAAAAUUCAACUAGAUUCAACAAUGUUCGGGGAUUGAUCAAAGCAGUCAACCCUAAUUCAUCUUCACUUGUCACAUGAAAACUAUCUUACCUACCUCUUUGUGACCUAGUUUGGUCGAUUCUUCAACACAAUAAAGUCUCACAAAGAUGAGACAUAACCACUCAUGUAAAACUUUGAGGACAUUUACCACCCGAGGAUAUGGCUCACCUUAGUGAAACAUAAGCUUAAAUAAGGUUGACCGCUUCGAUCGGGGCCUAAAUAUUGGCGAAUUAAAGUGAUUUUUCUACAGUAGCCGUAUUUUAUUAUACCGAUCACAUCCUAUUUCACGAGAUUUUUGAAAAUUUUGCUUCCUCUAUAUAGUUAGUUCACAAAGUUGUACACUAGCAUAUAACCUACCAAACAAGUUAUACCACAUUAGUAGGCACGUUAUGAUUCCGAUGACUAAAAUUCAGACGCAGUUAUGAAGUGGGUCUCGCUAGUGGUCCGUGCCAUUUUUCUGUGAAUUUUUCCAACACCGGAGCUAUUUUCUAUGCAUUUUUAAAGUUUUGAAAUGGGGGAAAAAGUAAAACUUUAAUGACAUGGACAUAUUGGUAACUUAGGAGGAAUGAGGUCGCGACAUGUGGCAAUUAAUGUUGAAUUUUCAGAAAAGGAAUCCCCCCGAAAUGGAAAUUUACCAUUUCUUUUAUAGUAGAUUUCCAUAAGUAAAUUUCCAUAAAUAGUAACUUUCAUUUUUAAAGCAUAACUAUCCCCCCCCCCGAAAUGGAAACUUACUCUUCCUUUUAUAGUUGAUUUCCAUAAAUAGUAACUUUCGUUUUUAGAACAUAACUAUCCCUCCGAAAUAGAAACUUACCCUUCCUUUUAUAGUUGAUUUUCAUAAAUAGUAACUUUCAGAAAGUCUACUUUUGCAUGUCAGUUAGCUCAUGUUAUUAGUAGACCUAACUCAUGUUAAUAAUAGACUUUGCAUCUUAGAGUACUUGAUCUAACUUUGAAGAACAAUCUCAAGAACGAAUUUUCAGAAAGUCUACUUUUUUGUAUUUUGCUCAUCUAAAUGCUAGACAUUUCUCAUGAAAAUAAUAGUUGUGUCUUAUGUUAAAUGUAGAUUUUGCAACUUUCACAUUCCAUUAUUAAUUCAAUUUCAAGAACAAUUUUGAUUUCCAGAAAAUCUAUUUUUAUGUGAUUUUGCUCAUCUAAAUGGUAGACAUUUCCAUCAUUUAAUGGUUGAUAUUUCUAAUGAAAAUAAUAGAUGUGUCUUAUGUUAAAUGCAGACUUUGCAUCAUUUACCUUGGGUUGAUUCAAUCUCAAGAACAAUUUUGAUUUCCAGAAAGUCUACUUUUCUUUGAUUUCUCUUAUGUUAAUGGUAGACAUUUCUUAUGAAAAUAGUAGAUAUGUCCUAUGUUAAAUAUGGACUUUGCAACUAUUACCUUGGGUUGAUUGAAUCUCAAGAACAAUUUUGAUUUCCAGAAAGUUUACUUUCUUGUGAUUUUGCUCAUUCAAAUGGUAGACAUUUCUCAUGAAAAUAGUAAGAUAUGUCUUAUGUUAAAUGUAGACUUUGCAACUUUCAUCUUCAAUUAUUGAUUCAAUCUCAAGAACAAUUUUGAUUUCCAGAAAGUCUACUUUUUUGUUGAUUUUGUCUCAUCCAAAUGGUAGAUAUUUCUUAUGAAAAUAGUAGUUGUGUCUUAUGUUAAAUGUAUACUUUGCAACUUUCACUUUCAAUUAUUGAUUCAAUCUCAAGAACAAUUUUGAUUUCUAGAAAGUCUACUUUUUUAUGAUUUUGCUCAUCUAAAUGGUAGACAUUUUUCAUAAAAGUAGUAGUUGUGUCUUAUGAUAAAUGUAGACUUUGCAACUUUUGCCUUUAAUUUGUUCAAUAUUAAGAACCAUUUUGAUUUCCAGAAAGUCUACUUUUUUAUGAUUUUGCUCAUCUAAAUGAUAGACAUUUGUAAUGAAAAUAGUAGAUGUGUUUUAUGUUAAAUGUAGACUUUGCAACUUUUGCCUUUAAUGGGUUCAAUAUUAAGAACCAUUUUGAUUUCCAGAAAGUCUAUUUUUGUGUGAUUUAGCUCAUUUGAAUAGUAGACAUUUCUAAUGAAAACUGUAGAUAUAUAGAGACUUAACGGAGAGUUAACAACGUUAGUUUGUUUUAACCUGCUAUAGCAAGUCAAAACCUGUUGGGUAUGCAUACCCUAAGGCACACAAGUGGAACCCAAAAAAAUAUUCAAAAAAUACCAAUUUUUUCGGGGUUCCAAACCUAGUCAAGCGUAAUGUCAUGAGGCUCAUCCUCAUGCCUGAAUUUUUUUUUAUUAAUAUGCUAAAACAUGGUACAAUGGAGAGAUAUAAAACCUUUACCGUCGAAAAGAAAAGAAAUACAAGGAUAACAACAAACAUAGAUAAAAAGUUGCUUGUGAGAAUGCACUAUUUACUCAAAUGCAGAUAUUCCGAAACGUUCAUUAAAAUGUCAUAUGCUUUAGAAUCGCUUUUCCAAUUUUGUCUUCCACAUACUUCUUGACUUGUUCUGUCAACUAAGUUCACAUAUUCAAAUUCCUCAAUCUAUUUCCACUCAUUUGCAUAGCUAAAUACUCACAGUAUAGAACAGUUUAAAUAUAACGACAACUUAAGGUCUCAGCAAAAACUUCACAAGUCAUUGCACAUUCCAAAUUCUACAUAUAUAAAUGGUUCAGAGUGACUUUAAACUAUUAGUCUUAGAAACAUAAAAUUCAUUCUAUCAAAACCCGAAGCACAAAACCAAAUUCUAAUAUUCUCUACAAAAACAUAAUAACAAUUUCAUAAGCACAAUUUCAUAUAUCUCAGAUGCACGAUUUCAGAAAGGGAAAAAAAAAAAAAGAUUCGAAGCAACCUUUUUCAACCCAAAAAAAAGAAUUCGAAGAUGUGACAUUUAUAGUAACCUUAUGUUCAGUCUUUAAAAACUAGAUAGUGAGAGAGGAGAUGUGAAAUUGAGAGAGGAUGAAAAAUUUCUAAGGAUCAUGAGUAAUUUAUAACGAGAGCAGAGAAAAAAAAUUUGGUUCCGGAGAACAUUAAUUAAUCUCCAAUCAAGCUCCUUUAUUGCUGCAAUUGGUAUUUGAAUUUGGGAGAAGAAUCAGAAGAUUAAGAGUUUGAGAGAGAAGAAGAGAUUGGAACAAAUGAAUAAGGAAAAAAAAAUAUAUAUUAAUUACACCUAUAUAUAUUAAUUACACACAUAUAUAUAUAUAUAUAACAAAUAAGAAAAAAAAAAAAGAAAAAGUGCCCCUUCAGCCCUGGGCCCUGGUGCCAACGCACUGCCAGCACUGGGCCAGGACCAGGCCUGCAGGGAAAUCUAAUUAUAUGCAAUUUGUGAUAUCAAAAUAACAGGGAAAUAUAUUAGCACUCUACCAAAUACUAUUUUAACCUGAAAAAAAACCAUACUAUUUUAACCUGAAAAAAAACAUGUUUUGAGAAUAUGCAUAUGGAUGAGUCCAAAAGAUAACCACCAUGCCAAAUGACUCAUCUAAACUUACAAUCUCGAUGAAAGUUAAUCACCGUGGCCCAUAAGAAAAGAAAACAUUUAUACAUAUAAUAUAUAUACACGUGAAAUAUAUUCAAAUGACUCAUAUAUUACUAAAAGAAACAAAACAGAAAGAAAAACCUCUCAGAUUUUUUUUAGGGAACAUAUCAACUCCAUUAAUUAUAAAAAGAGUACAAAAGAUAGAUAUAAAAUGAAAAUAUAAGGCAAUAAAAUAUUGGAAAUAAAACCUAGUAGAGCAAUGACUGAAUACAAUACUGCAUCUAAAGAUGCACCGUACUUGAUGUAAAUUGGGCAAUAUAAACAAUUACUAAUGAUAUGACGGAGCAUGUUCCUCAUAUGCUGCUCGGUCAUGCGUACUUGAUGUAAAUCUUUUCAAUAAAGUAAACAGCAAUAUGAUCUGCCAAGCAUAUCCCUCGUAUAUAUAUCGUACGGCAAAAAAGGAACAAUCUUUCACUUAUGUUAUCAACAAGAUGAUUGACCAUUAAAGGGAAAUCUUCUACUAGUGUAACUGGUGAUGAUAACCAUUUGUACACAUCCAUUGUAAGAAAAUAGGCUUAUCACAACUCAAGGGCCUUUCUUAACAAACUUAACUUGACGCAAACCAAAUCAGAAACCACCCUAACCAAGUUUAUACCUACCUAGAUCUUGACUCAGUCGGUUUCGACCCGAAUCCCGACUCAGUAAAGAGAGUAACUAGUAUUUAACCUUUUGACCAAAAAAAAAAAAAACUUGUAUUUAACUCUAUUUUUAUAUAUAUUAACAUUUUGUAAAUAUCUGUAUCGAUUACUUGUGUUAGCUAUGGGGAAAUACUUAUAGAUCUAUGUAUUAUGGUUCCUUCAAAUCCUGAAACAUGAAAAUGAUAAUAAUAAGAUGAACUGAUGAAGAAUACAUGCCACAAUGGUUUGUUUGGAUAAAAAAUAAGAUGGUAUUUAAUGAAAUGAGCAGUCAUAGUUUCUUAACAUGACCUAUCUCAUUUGACAUUCUAAAUUAGGAAUUUUGAAUUUCUUUGUGAAAAGAAAUAAAAGAAAUUAUCCAAAUUCUAAAGUGUACUAGGUCCUCAGUUGUCGAAGGGCCUUUGUCGACUCCUUAUGGGCCUGGAGUGUACUAGGUCCUCAGUCAGCGUUUCUCAUUCAUAUCGGGAGUUAGGGUGGACAGUUGUGGGUUUUCAGAGUCUUUUUUGUUUUGUUUAAAUGUGGUUUAAGGCCUUUUAUCUUUCCUAUAAAGUAUAAACUUUAUUUCAUUUUUUUUCAGUAACAAUCAUGGCGUUUCUUAUUGAUAUUGGUACCGGACUUGUUGGAAAACUUGUGGACUAUACGGUUCUAUCAGUUGGACGUCAAGUUGGUUAUCUGAUCUACUACAAUCGGAACGUCAAAAGCCUAGAGGGUCAACUGAAUGACUUGGUUGCUGUGAGUCAGAGUGUGGAACAAAGGGUUGGUGAAGAAAAGAGAAACAUAAGAGAAGUGGAAGUCCUUGUCAACAAAUGGCUGACAGAUGUCAAAAGGAUCACAGGAGAAGCAAAUGAGAUCUUGAAUGAAGAGCACAAAGAAAAGAUGAAGUGUCUUUGUGAUUAUUUCCUAAUUUAGUGGUUCGUCAUCAACUAAAUCGAAAAUCAACAAAAUUGGUAUCUGAUGUUGCUGAGCUCUAUGGGAAGAAAGACUUUAGCACUUAUGCCCAUGCUAUCAUCCCACAAGAUGUACCCUCCAAAGAUUACGAGGCCUUCAGCUCAAGAACUGUAGUGGUGAACCAGAUAAUGGAUGAAUUGAGAAACAGUCCUAAUGUCAACAUGAUUAGAGUAUAUGGGUUUGGUGGUGUGGGAAAGACCACACUUGUCAAAGAAGUUUCUCGUCAAGCUACAAGAGACAAGAAAUUAUUUGAUGAUGUGGCUAUGAUCCUGGACGUAAAACAAAAUCCAAGCAUCCAAAGGAUUCAACAAGAAAUUGCUGAGAAGUUAGGCCUUGACCUUCCUGAAAAUCAGACUGUUGCUGGAAGAGCACGUCUUCUAUCUAGCAGGAUAAAAGACCAAAAGACUCUGGUAAUUCUCGAUGAUGUGUGGGAUGGAAUUGAUUUGGAGGCUGUGGGACUUUCUGGUGUGACGACUUGUAAAGUAUUGUUGACAU